Long non-coding RNA from Vicia villosa (hairy vetch), 2525 nucleotides. RefSeq lists it as uncharacterized. The record is from RefSeq and is a predicted model, not a curated record. The transcript is spliced from 4 exons. NCBI's taxonomy places the organism in Eukaryota, Viridiplantae, Streptophyta, Magnoliopsida, Fabales, Fabaceae.
UCUAUAGUCAAGUUUCCAAUGGAUUUGUAUUUUGUAAACCCUCAUCCUAAUCCCAAAUUUGGUUACUCUACUCAUAUGAACUAUCAUGUUCCUUCUUCCUCCUCUAAAUCCUCUAAUGAGUUUAUACUAUCUGAAUAUCUCAUGCUUGAUGAUUUUUGUAUUGAUCAAACAUACCAUGAUCAAGAAUCUAGGUCACAAAGUAUUGAAUCAUUAGAGAAAGUAACCUUCAGUGAUGCUAAUCAAGAGUUCAAUGAUGCAACCUCUAACAACAAUAACAUAAAGUACAAAAAUGGGAUUAAAGGAAAAAAGGGAGAAGUGGGACCAAAGAUAGCAUUUAGAACAAAAUCAGAAAUCUAUAAUAUAAGAAAAUUAAUGGCUCUGGAAAACACAUUUUUAACCUUUCUUCUUUGCCCUCCACCUCAUUGAUUUGGGGAUAAAAUGUGUCCAAAAUUUAGUUUUUGCAACCAAAUUGUACUUUUGGUUACAACUUAAAUGUUUUUACUAUUAAUUGUUACAAAUUGCAAAGAUAUUUGAUUUUAAUAGUUAAACUAGGACAAUAUGGGGACACGUGCAAGUACAAUGUGGUAUCUUUUUGAAAUAUUAGGAAAAAAAGACAUUUCGGAUAACUGAGAUAAACCGCUUUUCCUUUUGUUGGGAAAUCUGCAAAAGCAACCUUUUGUCCAUCAGAUUACCAAUAUUUCAACCCUUUUGUCCAUCAAAUAUCAAAAAGUGAUAACAUAGCAGACUGUCCAGCUCCUCUAACAUUUGAUUCUAUCACUUCCUCUUGGGUUCCCCCUUCCAUUUCUCUGUCUUCACCGUAUACAUCAACUUUCUCUCUUCAAACAUCUUCACCUCUCCAAAACGCUUCAUUUCUUCUUCACAUCUACAAGUUUCUUCCUUCUGCGGCUUUUAAUUGGGAACAUGGUGGUGUUGAAGAUUGAUGAAGGCGAUGAUGAAUGUUGUGAGAUUUGGUGGUGAUGAUGUUGCUCGAUUUACUGUUGUGUUGAAGGAUAUGAAGAUGAUGUUAUGGUUCCAGAACUUUGGUGAGAUUUUUCUGAUUUUUAUUCUUUCUGCUUUUGGAUCUACGGAUCUGUUGUCUUUUUUUCUUCUUCUACAAAAGAGAUUUAGGGUUUGAUUAUGAUUUAUGUGGCUAUGGCUGUGUGAUUAUGUGAACGGUUCUUCUUUUUGCAACAAUUUCUGAAGGGAUUUUGGAAAAUGAUGAAUGAAAAUCUUAAGGUUUCAUUGUUUGUUUCUUCUGACAAUUUUAGUCCAAGGGUAGUGUCAUAAUCUUUACUUUUCCAUGGCAGGUUCUCAUAUUUGUUGAUAACUCAGGGAGAUCCUUGGGCGUGGGAGUCAGGUUUGCACACUUAAAUUUAUUUAUCUUUAAACUGUAUUUUCUGGUCUGGAAGUAGAAACCAAUUGCCAAAAUAAAGUUGAAUCUUCUUUUGUUGAAAUGUAUAUGUUCAUAGACAGAGGCAAUAACUGUCGAACCAUGUAAAUCAAAUGACUUCUAUUUUUCGUGGUACAAUUGUGUUUUUACAGUGGGGUAACUAUGAGGAGGAUAAUGGUAGCAUUUUUAUAAAUCAGUAUGGUGGAAUACAAGGAAUUCAUUUUGCUUUAAAAGGAACUUAGAGGAACUUCAGAUUUUUUAAUUUGUUUUAAGUUUUUAAAUUAGAUCCACCUAAAUCUUAUUUGUAGAAGACAUGAAUCAUAGUCCAUUUUUUAAGUUGUUUGAGAUUUUGAAUGCAGGUUGUUUUGGCUGCUAAUGACUUACCUUCUAUCAAUGAUGUGACUUACUCUGAACUAAUUGAAGCUUUAUCAAUGGUGACACAAAUUAAUUUCAACAAGUUUUCAAUAUAACCAAAGUUUUUUGCUUUUCUAACUCUGCAGUGGUUACCAAUUAAAGGAUGAAGAAGGUAAUAUUUUGGGUGUCAGCACUUCAAAUCUUUUAAUUGCCAACUCUGGAAAUGGUUUACCCUGAUACAUUGAUUGAGCAAGAGGUUGAAGGAAACUCUGUAGCUGAUAUAUUCAAGCUCUAUGGAGAAUCUUUAUUUCGUGAUAAGGAGGUCAGUUGGAAAGGACGGUUUCAAGUUUCACAUUCUUCAGUGUUUCAAUUUUUUCUUAAAUUUUCUGAAUUUUAGAUUUUCUGCUUCUAUAUGUUAUAAGUUGAUACAAGGAAAUGGGAGAUCAAUGUGCGUGCUGUAAUACCAAACGACGAUGAUACUUAUAAGUAUCUCGAGCAGGAUAGUAUAGAAAACCAAAACAAAGAGAAUCCAAGUAAACAAUGUAGUUGGACAGAGAAAUUGUAUGAACUCUGAAGAUAUAAAGCAAUCACUAUUCCGGAAUGCAGGUUAAGGUGCGAGGUUGUUGAGAAUGUUGACCCCUUCGAGUUGUCUCUAAAAGAGGUGUCUCUAGAAAAAUAAUGGAAAGCUGACAUAACAAUUUGCAGAUGGUGAAAACGAGCAAAAUUUUCCUCUGAUGUAAUUAAGUAAUUAUUGUGAUAAAAGUUGUAAUGGUAUUCUAAA